GAUGAACGCUGGCGGCGUGCCUAAUACAUGCAAGUCGAACGGACAUCCCGCAAGGGAUGUGAGUGGCGAACGGGUGAGUAACGCGUUGGUGACCUGCCCCGCAGUGCGGGAUACCAGUCCGAAAGGAUUGCUAAUACCGCAUGCGCCCCCGGGGGUUAGAGACCCCGGGUGCAAAGGUCCGCAAGGAUCGCUGUGGGAGGGACCUGCGUCCCAUCAGCUGGUUGGUAGGGUAACGGCCUACCAAGGCGAUGACGGGUAGGGGACCUGAGAGGGUGGCCCCCCACAAUGGAACUGAAACACGGUCCAUACACCUACGGGUGGCAGCAGUAGGGAAUAUUGCAAAAUGGGCGCAAGCCCGAUGCAGCAACGCCGCGUGCGCGAUGAAGGCCUUCGGGUCGUAAAGCGCUUUUCGGAGGGAUGAGGAAGGACAGUACCUCCGGAAGAAGUCUCGGCUAACUACGUGCCAGCAGCCGC
Molecule: ribosomal RNA, 474 nt
Filed under: uncultured bacterium
Lineage: Bacteria
Description: bacterial SSU rRNA
Rfam family: Bacterial small subunit ribosomal RNA
Source: RNAcentral